AUGAUAUGCCUCACCACAUCAUCUCCAAAUCGUACCGUCAAACCUAUGACGACAUAUUUGCACACAAAGACCGCAUCGCCUCAAGGCAACACCUUUAAUAAGGUCAAUGGUGCAACUAGACGACCUCAACCAGGACCAAAUAAUAUCAAUAAGCGGUUUGAAGCGAGGUGGUUCCUAGAAGAUGGGUGUGAGGAGGUUGUGGUGAAUGCUUGCGACAAAGCUGGGAGUACAUGGGAGGGUAAUGCGGCACAGCGGCACAAGUGUGUAUCGCGGGAACUUGAUGAAUGGAGCAGAGAUGUAUUGGGUGACUUGCAAAAACGUAUUAAAAAGCUCAAAGAGGAGUUAGAAAGGUGCCGAAGAGGGGAUCUAACAGAAGCUGUGGUCCGGAGGGAACAAGUGCUAUGUUUCAAGCUUGAGCGUCUUGAAGAGCAGCUCGAAAUCUUCUAG
This 447-nucleotide ribosomal RNA is filed under the name Triticum aestivum (bread wheat). RNAcentral's name for it is "partial small subunit ribosomal RNA". The record is from RNAcentral. Lineage: Eukaryota; Viridiplantae; Streptophyta; Magnoliopsida; Poales; Poaceae.